RNAcentral lists this ribosomal RNA (479 nucleotides) under uncultured bacterium. RNAcentral's name for it is "partial 16S ribosomal RNA". It matches the Rfam family "Bacterial small subunit ribosomal RNA", at positions 28 to 507 of the family's 1533-position model. The record is from RNAcentral.
GAUGAACGCUAGCGGGAGGCCUAACACAUGCAAGCCGAGCGGUAGAGUUUCUUCGGAAACUUGAGAGCGGCGCACGGGUGCGUAACACGUGUGCAACCUACCUUUAUCUGGGGGAAAGCCUUUCGAAAGGAAGAUUAAUACCCCAUAAUAUAAUGAUUGGCAUCAAUUAUUAUUGAAAACUCCGGUGGAUAGAGAUGGGCACGCGCAAGAUUAGAUAGUUGGUGAGGUAACGGCUCACCAAGUCAAUGAUCUUUAGGGGUCCUGAGAGGGAGAUCCCCCACACUGGUACUGAGACACGGACCAGACUCCUACGGGAGGCAGCAGUGAGGAAUAUUGGACAAUGGGUGAGAGCCUGAUCCAGCCAUCCCGCGUGAAGGAUGACGGUCCUAUGGAUUGUAAACUUCUUUUGUACAGGGAUAAACCUACCCUCGUGAGGGUAGCUGAAGGUACUGUACGAAUAAGCACCGGCUAACUCCGUG